CGUUUGAUCCAUUUUUUUAUAGACAACUCUUAUCGCUAGCUGAUCGUUUCUGUAGCAAAUAAAUAGCUAACUAGCACUGCCAUCUAACGUAAAAAAACAACACUAAUAGGAGGGAUUUGAAUAGACCACGCCUUCAACGAAGGAGGAGUCCACUACAUAUUGAAUUUAUCGAUCGAUUGUUAGGCCCAUUUCGAUCGCUACUGUACAGUCAAUGGCGGCAUGGCGGAGACGCGCAUUGGAACUUGGAAGUGGAUGCAUGUGAGACUUGAUGUGGCGUUGCAUGUGGGAGGCUCCGUUGGUAAUGUUCGCAGACUGGUCAUUUGAUGAUACGUGUGAACAGUGGUAGUGCUUGGGUGCCUCAAGAGGGAAUCGCAGAACAUAGCCAUAGAGCUAAAAGUCAUAGAAGAUUUUUAAACUGUUAUUUGAUUUUGUGUUGUUUCAGCAGUAUUAUGUCCUUCAACAAUAUAUUAUGUCCAAACAUGGAAUGAGUCGCAUGUGACUAAGUCAACCAAAUGUGGCAACAACAAUUAGUCAGCAAUGGAAUUAGUCAGUGGAAAACAACACAUUCAUUCCUGAGGAUGGUUUUGAGUUUAUCUAUGCUUAUUGCCAACUGGAAGGAUUCCUCUUUUUACAGAACUUUACCAUUUUCAUGGUAUACUUAACUGCUUGUCAGCGGAUUGUCACUUGGCAUCAUUAGAAUGGUAUGGUCCAUAUCAGCAGUGUUAUGAUGCACUUCUUAAAUACACCAAUCCCUCAGAAAAUAUUCGAAUUGAAAUUAUGGAAAUUUCUGCCCUUCAUGCAGAACUGCACAAUGAUGGGUUCGUAUAAACAAGCUUCAAAUGACAAACCAACAGUAUUUUUGGUUCGGCUUACACAUGCAGCUCUAUGACAUGUUGAUGUUAGCUGAAUUGUUAUUAAUCAUAGGGGUAGGUAGUAUGAAAUGAAAUAUCUUCUCUUGGAUGUUUUUUGUCUAUGUAUUUGUUUGAGAUGACUCUUGAUGCAGGAAGCUUUUCCUGCUUCUUACAAAAAGGGACAUUGGAUGCCUUAAUGUCUAAUACCAACCAAGUGUCAUUGCAAAGAUAGGUCAAAGAUAUAUUAAUAUAGAUUACACUCUGAGUGAUGGUGACAUGGUAAAAAGAGAGAGCAGUAUGAAUAUUUGCUGCAUCAUUUACUUCUAUUAUUUAUAUCUUCAAGGUAUCUUACUGAUUUCUAUUGGUUUUAUUUGUGGAAAGAAUAUCUUGAGCGGGAGAAUUGGAUCACAAUUGACUAGAUGUUUUACUAUUUUAAAUGAGUUUAUCACAAAGAAUUUUUUACUGAUUCAUGUUCUGUUUCUGUAAUGUAGGUAGAAUAAUCGCAAUGCCGUGGUAGUAAUUCGCGAGAGAUAUGCCAAUAGGGUUUCGCUGUUUUCAAUUCGCAAUCGUAAUGGAUUUGAAGAGGAUAUUGAUGGAGUUUUGGUAUAAAAAAGUACAUGUUCGUUGGAAGGGCACCGAAGAGUUCCGGAUCCUUUUACUAUCGCACAUGUUAUGGUAUUUUUACAAAAAUCAUUGAAGUGCUUAUUUGGAACCCCUUGUUUUCUGUGGCCCCGUUUCCCCCUUGACUUAUAUUAUUUUCUUUAACCCUUUAGUGCGUGUAAAACUAAAGACUAAAAGAAGAAGAAUGAUUCAAAAACUGUGGGAGAGAAUCAUCAAAGAAUUAUACUCGUUUAGGUAAUCCUUUCGGAUUCGAUUCCGCCGUUUGUGCUGCCCUUUUCUCUAAAGCACUUCUACAGAGUGACGACUCGUCGCGAGUGCAUGACAUCCAUAUCGAUAACGGUUUCCCGCGUAAAGACGAAUCCGAGCAAGUCGUCACUAGUUUACAGCAACUCCGGCUCAAUCUUCGGAGCUCUUUUCCAGACAGUGGCUUCUCAUUUCUAUCGUCAUACCAGCGAUCAGAUUUGAUGUUUGGAAUUGUUUUGGGUUGCUAAAGCAAGAUUGACUUUCUACGAUACUUCCACCAACGUGCAUGGUCGCCAAACUUUGUCGUUGUGUCGGACUGUAAAUCCGGAAGAUAAACGUCGAAUUAUUGGCGAUAUGUUUGUCAAAGUGAUAAUUAGAACGGCUAACGAUUUAAAUGUCACUUGGGAUAAUCUACUUCUCGGACAAGUUUCUUUGAGACCUGAUUUAAUUGGGGCCGCUUCGCAUAUGGCUUCUUCGCGCGUUGAUGCCAUAAAGACUCAUCAUAACGAUUCCGAAAUGGUUCGUCAGUUGCGCAUUUACGGUCGUGUAGUAGAACCUUUUAAAGAUUUCAUUUCCAUAAAGAUGAAGUAAGGUCUUAGGUUGUGGGCUGGGUCUGUCCACAGUAUUACUGGAAUGUCACCCGUUUCCUGGUCCUGGUUAUAUAUUUAUAUUUAGUUAUAUUAUUAUUCGUAAAAUCCAGAGGUGUUCUUCACUUUACAGGGGAUUGAUUGAUGAUACUUGUUGAUUAAUCCAUGAAGAAUGGAUAAGUGGAGGGUAAUAAAAGUUAAAUAAUGUAAUUCCUGGUGGCAUUUUCAUUCACGCAUACGAAGCAGCUCGGGAGCAGACGAACCAUUGAAAGGGCCUUGCGUAGUCUAGCUGCAUCCAGCCAGAUACUAGUAGAACCCAAAACAUUGUUUUGACAAGUACUGUCAUAUUUCGGUUGCAGGUUUUCACUAAAUAUCAAGGUGUGGUAGCUAUUAUUCCGUGUUUUUCUUGCUUUCAACACUACAGGCUUAUCCUACGAGCUACGACAGUUUUACCUACAAAUGUUUAGCCGUUUCGUGCUGCAACUAGUAGUCUAUUUUCUAGGAUGAAAUGCCUAAAAUUGGAAUUCAGCUAUCAGAGAUUAACAAAAUUCAAGUUCUUAAAAGCAAGUAUUGUACCUCUUUCAACAUUCAAAAUAAAAUAUAAUUUUUGGUUCUAGGCCGAAACUCUAGAUGGCGUUUUUGUGCGUUUAUGAUGAAGAUUAUGAGUGACAAGUUAAAUGGGUGUUUGUUACGUUACGCUGUUAUGUGUUUAAAAGGAUUUUUCGUCAAAAAAUAUACGAUUGCUUUUUGUCUGUGUUGGUGUUUCGCUUUGUCAGCUAUGCUAGCUACUGAACCAGCAGCCUGCAUUCCUGCUAUCAAUGUACCACAAGAGAUCCUGACACUUUGAGAAGGCCACUAUUGCUUACAUGAAGAUCACCAUCCAGUUGAAGUACUGUUAAUGGACCUCAAGCCUUUUGUUUAAGCUUAGUGAUGUGUUCUCUCGUCAGUCAACGGCAGAGUCUUCAUCUACUUUGUGUUGCUAACCAUCCACCCUCAGCAUCCCAGGUAUCCAGAUUUCCAAGUUUCUCUGAUUAGCCAACCAUCAACCCUUCAGCUCUUCAAUGUGGCUUCUCUUCCUCUCUUCUUAAUGUGCUGAAUGCCAACAUUGAAUAAGAUUCAUCAUCAUUGCCUUUCCAUGCCAGCUCACAUGGAUAGGCUUUAACAGCAUCUCCAUUUUUUGGACUGCAAAUAUUCAUCUUCCUUCGGUACGACACUGCCGUUUUGGCAAUUUCGGCAGUUUCGCCCCCAGUGGACCACACGCAACUACAUUUUCUUCGUCUUCCUGUCGUUGUUGUCUACGACUUCACCUCAUCGCUGUCUUCGUUGAUGUCUUCGCCUUCAUCUCCGUCUCGUCGUCUUAGUCGUCUUCUCCUUCAUCUCCGUCUCGUCGUCUUAGUCGUCUUCUCCUUCAUCUCCGUCUCGUCGUCUUAGUCGUCUUCUCCUUCAUCUCCGUCUCGUCGUCGUAGUCAUCUUCGCCUUCACCUCCGUCUCUGCGUCUUCGCCUUCACCUCCGUCUCGGCGUCUUCGCCGUCUUUGUCUACGCCAUCACCUCGUCGCCGGCCUCUCUUUCGCCCUUCACGUUGGGAAUUCACCGUUGAUCUUCGCUCUGGUAUUGUUUUGUUUUACAUUAUUAUGUUUAAGUUAACCCGUUGGCUGCCACCCCGUUUGCGUCCCAUUUUUUUGUAGCUUGUAGGGACCGGCCGCAAUGGCCUUCGCCGCAAGGCGCCU
This is a long non-coding RNA of Daphnia magna, 4030 nucleotides long. RefSeq lists it as uncharacterized. The record is from RefSeq and is a predicted model, not a curated record. The transcript is spliced from 14 exons. NCBI's taxonomy places the organism in Eukaryota, Metazoa, Arthropoda, Branchiopoda, Diplostraca, Daphniidae.